RNAcentral lists this long non-coding RNA (4573 nucleotides) under Taeniopygia guttata (zebra finch). RNAcentral describes it as "lncRNA (ENSTGUG00000024755.1)". Lineage: Eukaryota; Metazoa; Chordata; Aves; Passeriformes; Estrildidae. The record is from RNAcentral.
CUGCAUUAUCCACCAUGUACAACCUGGUCCCUGAGCAAAGACAAUCCCACGAAUGGGUUUGUCUGUACUCGAGGUAGAAUUGAUCCACACUGAUUUCUCUAACAAACCUCUGACAUGUGCCACUGGGACUUUAUCUCCGUCUACUAUAUUCAGGGGCUCAGACUGGGCAGGACCUGCUCGAUUGGUGGAACCUCAGCUGUUAACUAACCAGGUGGCCUUUGCUAAAUUUUGCUCCCAAUUUUUGAAAGAUCCCCCACCCAAUGCUUUUAAGGUGGUUUUUAACAGUCCAUUGUAAUUCUCCACUUUGCCUGCAGCUGGUGCAUGGUAGGGGAUAUGGUACACCCACUCAAUGCCAUGUUCCCUAGCCCAGGUGUUGAUAAGGCUAUUCUUGAAAUGAGUCCCAUUGUCUGACUCAAUCCUCUCAGGGGUACCAUGCCUCCAAAGGACCUGCUUUUCAAGGCCCAGAAUGGUGUUACGGGCUGUAGCAUGAGGCACAGGGUAGGUUUCCAACCAUCCAGUGGUGGAUUCUACAAUUGGUAGCACAUAACACUUGCCUUGGCAUGUCUGGGGCAGCGUGAUGUAGUCAAUCUGCCAGGCCUCCCCAUACUUGUACUUGGACCACCGCCCACCAUACCAUAGGGGCUUCAGCCAGUUGGCUUGUUUGAUUGCAGCACACGUCUCACAGUCAUGGAUCACCUGAGAAAUACUGUCCAUGGUUAGAUCCACCCCUCGGUCUCGUGCCCACUUAUAGGUGGCAUUUCUACCCUGAUGGCCUGAGACAUCACGGGCCCAUCAUGCUAGGAACAGCUCUCCCUUGUGUUCCCAAUUGAGGUCUAUCUUUGAUACCCCUAUCUUUGCAGCCUGAUCUACCUGCUGAUUGUUUUGCUGCUCUUCAUUAGCUCUGCUCUUGGAGACAUGGGCAUCUACGUGGCAAACCCUUACAGGUAGCUUCUCUACCCGGGUAGCGGUAUCUUUCCACUCUUCAGCAGCCCAAAUUGGUUUUUCUCUACGCUGCCAGUUAGCCUCUUUCCAUCUCUCUUGCCACCCCCAUAGAGCAUGGGCUACCAUCCAUGAAUCAGUGUAGAGGUAGAGCUUUGGCCACUUCUCCUUUUCUGCAAUGUCUAGGGCCAGUUGAAUGGCUUUGAGUUCAGCAAGCUGGCUUGAUCCACCUUCUCCUUCUUGUUGGUUGGUGGGGACAUAGCUGUGAUCUUGUUGAUGACAUCUGUAGGAAUCUGACGUUGUCCAUCUUGCCACUUCACUCCCAGGAGCUGGAUCUCUCAAGCAGGUCCUUUCACUUUUCUUGGUGGCAAAACCAGCUUCCAGGAGGAUUCGGACGAUUUUCUCUCCUUUCUUGAACACUUCUACUGCUGUGUUCCCCCAGACAGUGAUAUCAUCAAUAUACUGUGGAUGUUCUGGAGCCUCACCCUUUUCUAGUGCAGUCUGGAUCAGCCCAUGGCAGAUGGUAGGACUGUGCUUCCACCCCUGGGGCAGUCGGUUCCAGGUAUACUGCACUCCCCUCCAUGUAAAGGCAAACUGAGGCCUGCAUUCUGCUGCCAGAGGAAUGGAGAAAAAUGCAUUGGCAAUAUCAAUAGUGGCGUACCACUUCGCUGCCUUGGACUCCAGCUCGUACUGGAGUUCCAGCAUGUCUGGCACAGCAGCGCUCAGUGGUGGAGUCACUUCAUUCAAUGCACGGUAGUCCACAGUCAAUCUCCAUUCUCCUUCAGAUUUACGCACAGGCCAAAUGGGGCUGUUGAAGGGUGAGUGGGUUUUGCUGAUCACCCCUUGUCUCUCCAGCUCUCGGAUCAUCUUAUGGAUGGGAACCACAACAUCUCCAGUUGUUCUGUACUGUCGACGAUGCACUGUUGAAGUGGCAAUUGGUACCUUUUGUUCUUCUCCCUUCAAAAGUCCUACUGUAGUUGGAUUCUCAGACAGUCCAGGCAAGGUGUUCAAUUGCUGGAUGCCCUCUGUCGCUACAGUUGCUAUCCCAAAUGCCCACCUGAGUCCCUUUGGGUCUUUAAAAUACCCCUUUCGAAGGUAAUCUAUGCCCAAAAUGCAUGGGGCCUCUGGGCCAGUCACGAUAGGGUGUUUCUUCCACUCAUUUCCUGUCAGACUUACAUCAGCUUCCACCACAGUAAAGUCCUGUGAUCCACCUGUCACACCAGCAAUAGAGACAGAUUCUGCCCCUAUGUGUCUCAAUGGAAUUAACGUGCAUUGUGCACCAGUAUCAACCAAAGCCUUAUAUCUUUGUGGUUCUGAUGUGCCAGGACAGCGAAUCCACACAGUUCAGAAAACAUGGUUUUCCCUUGCCUCUACCUGGCUAGAAGCAGGGCCCUUUUAAGCCUGGUUAUCCUUCUUGCCUUGGGCAUAUGUCUUAGAGGCAGGGAUCAGACAUGUCAUCAUCAUGCCUGGCAGUUUGGCUACGGACAAGUGGAGUAGCUCUCCUUUUGGUGGCACUUCCUCUCUGAGUCUUGCCUUCCUUCAAUUCACACACCCUUGUUCCAGAGCAGCAGUAGAUUUUCCAUCCCAUCUCCUCAUGUUUUCUCCACAAUCACACAGGAAGAACCACAGCUCAGCUUGUGGGGUGUACCUUCUCUCACCAUCUGGGGAAUGUCUGCGUUAGCUACCAGAACCUCUGAUCUGUACUGCUGAGAUUUGGAGAAGGUCCUUGUUAAUGUCCUCCCUGAGUCUCAUGAUUCUCCUCUAUCUUAUCUUCUAAUUUCUGUAGAUGUGCUUCCACCACUGCGAUUCUGGCAUACUUUGGGCCAUGUACAGCAUCUGCAUAUGCUCAGAGCUUCUUCUCCAUGUUGAGCACAAUCUCAUCCCUCUCAUCCCGUCUCAUUAUUGCUAAAGCAGAAGCGUAUUCAUGUGGCCCAAGCCGUAUAAGUUUUCGCCACGUCACAGAUGUACAUGGUACCAAGUCUGGAUUCCUAGUUGUUAUUUCAUCUGAGAAGAUAAUCUCUGCCACUGCCAUUUCUCUCAGACGUUGGAUCCCUUGUUCUAUAGUCUUCCACUGGGUCUGCUGCAUAUAAAGAUCAUCUGCACACAGGUAUCUUUGUGCUACACUUUCCAGAACCCGUGCCCAGAGGCUGUGAGGGUUAGCCCACCUCAUCAUUCCUUGGUCAAUGACAGGAUCAUGUGACAGGGAUCCCAAAUGUCUCACUUCAGUGCCGUCCAGAAUUGUAGCCUUGCCUGCAGCAUCCCAAAGACGGACCAACCAACUAAUUACAGACUCAUCAGGUCAUCGCGUGUAAUCCUUUCUUAGGUCACAACGGUCCUUCAGGGAAAAGGACUCAAUAUUUGCCUCUGAUCUUGUACCAGUUGCAUUGACUCCUGAUUUUAUGUCAGCAGGCGUUGAGGGUCCUUCUCCUGCAUUAUCAUAAUCAUCGUCAUCAUCCACUGGUCGAUCGGUCUUUUCUGUGCACUUUCCACUUCUUGUGCUAGUAGCAACAGCCAUUGGUUGAGGUUUGGCUGCCGAGUCUGGUUUAGCUGCUAGCCUAGGCUCACUGUCUGGUUUAGCUGCUGGCUUUGAGCCGGGGGUGUUGUCUGCAGCCUGAGUGACUGGGAUAGCUGCUGAUUUAUCUCCCUGCCCCCCUUCCUCCAUCUGCUGCCCUACAGUAUCUAGCAGGGUGCGAUAAGCAUAUGCCAGGGCCCAGCUCACUGCAAUGAUCUUUUUCUCCUUAGGGUCAUCAUGACACUUCUCUUCCAGGUAUUUCCCACCUCAGCUAGAUUCUGAAUUUGUUCACAUGGAAAGUCCCAGGCUAUAGGGUCAGAAAUUCCUUUAGAUUUGACCCAUUCCUUCCUUUUUCCACACCACUCAGGAUUUCUAACACCUGGGUCUACUCCUGGGUCAGAGGUCUCAUCAGCCCCUCUAGAAAUCUCAGCCCUCAUUCUAGAGAGACUGCAGACUGUACAGAUAAAGCUUACCAGAUUAAACACCAGGAAGAUGGUCUCUUUAACCAUCAGGGGAAACUAAACAUUGUCUAAUAGGGAGGUAACAGAUUCAGAGGAGAAACAGGAAAGCAAAGGCUGACACUCUCUAACUGUCAACAUGGAGCAAAUCUUGCUCUAUGUCUAUGCAGGAUAAAAAUAUCUUAACUUACAUUACAGACAAGCUGGUUAAAUAGUUUCCUUUUAUCUUUCAGGGAGAGGGGACCAUCUACCAGGACUGAGGUACUUGGUGUCCAUAUCAAGUCUACAGGAGGUCAUUUAACCUUGAGCACACACAGGGUUUCAGAUACAGACAUUCAUUCAUUUCAGGAGUCCUAUGCCUUUGGUCAAUAGUCUGGCUGCUAUCUGCUUUUAUUGUAUGAGUGCUUUCUGUACCAUGGUAUUAGGGGACAUAAGUAUCUGGUCCUGGUACCUGGCACCUGGUAUGUGUGUACCUAGGUACAGAGAUCCCAGGGAGUGGUCAACAGAACUUGCUGCUGGAGCCUCACUCUGCUGUGAUCCAGACCAGUGGUCACUGCUGUGAUCCAUGGCUAGUUUUCAAACUAGCUGUGUUAUUUCGGCAUAACUUUUAACUGCCUGGUAAUGACAGGUUCAUGGUAAAAAAUAAAAAAUAAAAAAUAAAAAA